RNAcentral lists this long non-coding RNA (204 nucleotides) under Parus major (Great Tit). RNAcentral describes it as "lncRNA (ENSPMJG00000009823.1)". Lineage: Eukaryota; Metazoa; Chordata; Aves; Passeriformes; Paridae. The record is from RNAcentral.
UUGGAAAUGGGAAUUAGAGAUGAGCAGCACCAGGAGAAACAUCAGGCAGGAUUCCUCUGAACCAGUCACCCUUAAUCUCUUUUACAGGCUGCCUGGAAGACCUUGAUUCCCCUCUGGGCAGGGAUGAGUUUUGCAAAUUCUAUAUUUGUGGAGCAGGGUUUGUCCCCAGGGAAUAAAUGCCAUAAUCCUCUGCGCUGAGCUCCA